CUGAGGUGUUGUGUGAAUUGUAGGUUGCAAAGCGGAGAGCAAUUACAGUCCGCUUCGGUUCUUCACGUGUCAGUGUCCUAACCAUGCGUGGUUUACGGAUUGCCGUCUGGUGUGCCAAGCGUGAAUGGGUGGCAAUUUCGUGCCCUCUGGGUGGCCAGCACUAAGCAUGAAGAAAAUAUUGGAAAUGCUUUUCAGAUGGAAGGCAGUGGGACUCUUAUCUUCGCAGAUGACAGGAAGAUUUUUAAGAAGAUGCAUCGACUCCAAUUCUUACAUCUGACAAAUAUUUAAAUGAUUUUAAUAAAUCUCACCUGAAUUUCA
Ictalurus punctatus (channel catfish) is the source of this 318-nucleotide long non-coding RNA. The record is from Ensembl. NCBI's taxonomy places the organism in Eukaryota, Metazoa, Chordata, Actinopteri, Siluriformes, Ictaluridae.